GACGAACGCUGGCGGCGUGCUUAACACAUGCAAGUCGAGCGGAAAGGCCCUUUCGGGGGUACUCGAGCGGCGAACGGGUGAGUAACACGUGAGUAAUCUGCCCCUGGCUUUGGGAUAGCCACCGGAAACGGUUAUUAAUACCGGAUACGACUACUUCUUGCAGGGGUAGGCGGUGGAAAGUUUUUCGGCCAGGGAUGUGCUCGUGGCCUAUCAGCUUGAUGGUGAGGUAAUGGCUCACCAUGGCUUCGACAGGUAGCCGGCCUGGGAGGGGGACCGGUCACACUGGGACUGAGACACGGCCCAGACUCCUACGGGAGGCAGCAGUGGGGAAUAUUGGACAAUGGGCGGAAGCCUGAUCCAGCAACGCCGCGUGAGGGAUGACGGCCUUCGGGUUGUAAACCUCUUUCAGCAGGGACGAAGCGCAAGUGACGGUACCUGCAGAAGAAGCACCGGCCAACUACGUGCCAGCCGCCGCGGUAA
RNAcentral lists this ribosomal RNA (480 nucleotides) under uncultured bacterium. RNAcentral describes it as "partial 16S ribosomal RNA". It matches the Rfam family "Bacterial small subunit ribosomal RNA", at positions 28 to 523 of the family's 1533-position model. The record is from RNAcentral.